Molecule: ribosomal RNA, 301 nt
Filed under: uncultured bacterium
Lineage: Bacteria
Description: partial 16S ribosomal RNA
Rfam family: Bacterial small subunit ribosomal RNA
Source: RNAcentral
CAGUCGCCACGGGAAUACGGAGGGGGCUAGCGUUGUUCGGAAUUACUGGGCGUAAAGCGUGCGCAGGCGGUUCGUUAAGACAGAUGUGAAAUCCCCGGGCUUAACCUGGGAACUGCAUUUGUGACUGGCGAGCUAGAGUAUGGCAGAGGGGGGUAGAAUUCCACGUGUAGCAGUGAAAUGCGUAGAGAUGUGGAGGAAUACCGAUGGCGAAGGCAGCCCCCUGGGCCAAUACUGACGCUCAUGCACGAAAGCGUGGGGAGCAAACAGGAUUAGAUACCCCAGUAGUCCCUGUCUCUUAUAC